Thalassophryne amazonica is the source of this 220-nucleotide small nucleolar RNA. RefSeq annotates it as small nucleolar RNA U3. The record is from RefSeq and is a predicted model, not a curated record. NCBI's taxonomy places the organism in Eukaryota, Metazoa, Chordata, Actinopteri, Batrachoidiformes, Batrachoididae. The transcript has a single exon.
AAGACUAUAUUUUCAGGGAUCAUUUCUAUAGUCUCUGACUUGAGAAAUGUGUUUCUAAAGUGUUCGGUCUCGCCAACCACAAUGAAGAGUCCUAAUACUUCUUCCUGAGCGUUAAGUGGACAGAAAUAAAUGAUUCAGUUCAUCUGCUUUCUGUCUUUGAUGACUCUUCAUUGCCUCCACUUGGGGGCAAUGAGAGGAGGAGGAGUAUGGUCACAGUGGU